This 486-nucleotide ribosomal RNA is filed under the name uncultured bacterium. RNAcentral's name for it is "partial 16S ribosomal RNA". It matches the Rfam family "Bacterial small subunit ribosomal RNA", at positions 30 to 507 of the family's 1533-position model. The record is from RNAcentral.
AUUGAACGCUGGCGGCAUGCCUUACACAUGCAAGUCGAACGGCAGCACGGGUGCUUGCACCUGGUGGCGAGUGGCGAACGGGUGAGUAAUACAUCGGAACAUGUCCUGUAGUGGGGGAUAGCCCGGCGAAAGCCGGAUUAAUACCGCAUACGAUCUACGGAUGAAAGCGGGGGACCUUCGGGCCUCGCGCUAUAGGGUUGGCCGAUGGCUGAUUAGCUAGUUGGUGGGGUAAAGGCCUACCAAGGCGACGAUCAGUAGCGGGUCUGAGAGGGAGACCAGCCACACUGGGACUGAGACACGGCCCAGACUCCUACGGGAGGCAGCAGUGGGGAAUUUUGGACAAUGGGCGAGAGCCUGAUCCAGCAAUGCCGCGUGUGUGAAGAAGGCCUUCGGGUUGUAAAGCACUUUUGUCCGGAAAGAAAUCCUUGGCUCUAAUACAGUCGGGGGAUGACGGUACCGGAAGAAUAAGCACCGGCUAACUACGUG